RNAcentral lists this ribosomal RNA (567 nucleotides) under fungal sp. Its description in RNAcentral is "eukaryotic LSU rRNA". The stretch from base 208 to 361 matches the Rfam family "5.8S ribosomal RNA". The record is from RNAcentral. Lineage: Eukaryota; Fungi.
AGAAGUAAAAGUCGUAACAAGGUUUCCGUAGGUGAACCUGCGGAAGGAUCAUUACGAAAUUCGGCGCGCUUCGGCGCUGCCUUAUUCACCCACCCUUUGUCUACGUGUACCUCUAUAGCUUCCUCGGCGGGCUCGCCCGCCGCCAGGAACCCACGAAACCCCUUGCAUUAUACACGAAAACUUCUGAUAACAAACCUAAAUUAUUACAACUUUCAACAAUGGAUCUCUUGGUUCUGGCAUCGAUGAAGAACGCAGCGAAAUGCGAUAAGUAGUGUGAAUUGCAGAAUUCAGUGAAUCAUCGAAUCUUUGAACGCACAUUGCGGCCAUAGGUAUUCCUUUGGCCAUGCCUGUUCGAGCGUCAUUUACACCCUCAAGCCUAGCUUGGUGUUGGGCGUCUGUCCCGCCGAUUUCGCGCGCGGACUCGCCUCAAAGUCAUUGGCGGCGGUCGUGCCGGCUCCUCGCGCAGCACAUUUGCGCUUCUCGGAGGCCCGGCGGAUCCGCGCUCCAGCAAAGACCUUUCAUGACUUGACCUCGGAUCAGGUAGGGAUACCCGCUGAACUUAAGCAA